RNAcentral lists this ribosomal RNA (498 nucleotides) under fungal endophyte. RNAcentral describes it as "eukaryotic LSU rRNA". The stretch from base 187 to 340 matches the Rfam family "5.8S ribosomal RNA". Lineage: Eukaryota; Fungi. The record is from RNAcentral.
CGGAGGGAUCAUUACUGAGUUUACGCUAUACAACCCUUUGUGAACAUACCUAUAACUGUUGCUUCGGCGGGUAGGGUCUCCGUGACCCUCCCGGCCUCCCGCCCCCGGGCGGGUCGGCGCCCGCCGGAGGAUAACCAAACUCUGAUUUAACGACGUUUCUUCUGAGUGGUACAAGCAAAUAAUCAAAACUUUUAACAACGGAUCUCUUGGUUCUGGCAUCGAUGAAGAACGCAGCGAAAUGCGAUAAGUAAUGUGAAUUGCAGAAUUCAGUGAAUCAUCGAAUCUUUGAACGCACAUUGCGCCCGCCAGCAUUCUGGCGGGCAUGCCUGUUCGAGCGUCAUUUCAACCCUCAAGCUCUGCUUGGUGUUGGGGCCCUACAGCUGAUGUAGGCCCUCAAAGGUAGUGGCGGACCCUCCCGGAGCCUCCUCUGCGUAGUAACUUUACGUCUCGCACUGGGAUCCGGAGGGACUCUUGCCGUAAAACCCCCAAUUUUCCAAA